AGCCCCGUACAAUAACAGGUAAAGUUCGCCGGACUUUGAAUCCGGAGGAAAAGGUUCGAUUCCUUUCGGGGCUA
Molecule: transfer RNA, 74 nt
Rfam family: tRNA
About the family: Transfer RNA (tRNA) molecules are approximately 80 nucleotides in length. Their secondary structure includes four short double-helical elements and three loops (D, anti-codon, and T loops).
Source: Rfam